Molecule: ribosomal RNA, 441 nt
Filed under: uncultured bacterium
Lineage: Bacteria
Description: partial 16S ribosomal RNA
Rfam family: Bacterial small subunit ribosomal RNA
Source: RNAcentral
CCUACGGGAGGCAGCAGUGGGGAAUAUUGCACAAUGGGGGAAACCCUGAUGCAGCGACGCCGCGUGUGUGAAGAAGUCUUUCGGUAUGUAAAGCUCUAUCAGCAGGGAAGAAGCAAGACGGUACCUGACUAAAAAGCCCCGGCUAACUACGUGCCAGCAGCCGCGGUAAUACGUAGGGUGCAAGCGUUAGCCGGAUUUACUGGGUGUAAAGGGAUCGUAGGCGGUAUGUCAAGUCAGAAGUGAAAGCCCAGGGCUUAACCCUGGGACUGCUUUGGAAACUGUUAGACUAGAGUGCUGGAGAGGUAAGUGGAAUUCCUGGUGUAGCGGUGAAAUGCGUAGAUAUUAGGAGGAACACCAGUGGCGAAGGCGGCUUACUGGACAGUAACUGACGUUGAGGCGCGAAAGCGUGGGGAGCAAACAGGAUUAGAUACCCUAGUAGUC